RNAcentral lists this ribosomal RNA (518 nucleotides) under uncultured bacterium. RNAcentral describes it as "bacterial SSU rRNA". It matches the Rfam family "Bacterial small subunit ribosomal RNA", at positions 9 to 526 of the family's 1533-position model. The record is from RNAcentral.
GAGUUUGAUCCUGGCUCAGGAUGAACGCUGGCGGCGUGCCUAACACAUGCAAGUCGAACGAAGCACCUUACCUGAUUCUUCGGAUGAAGGCCUGGUGACUGAGUGGCGGACGGGUGAGUAACGCGUGGGUAACCUGCCCUGUACAGGGGGAUAACAGUUGGAAACGGCUGCUAAUACCGCAUAAGCGCACGAGAGGACAUCCUCUUGUGUGAAAAACUCCGGUGGUACAGGAUGGGCCCGCGUCUGAUUAGCUGGUUGGCAGGGUAACGGCCUACCAAGGCGACGAUCAGUAGCCGGUCUGAGAGGAUGAACGGCCACAUUGGAACUGAGACACGGUCCAAACUCCUACGGGAGGCAGCAGUGGGGAAUAUUGCGCAAUGGGGGAAACCCUGACGCAGCAACGCCGCGUGAAGGAUGAAGGUCUUCGGAUUGUAAACUUCUUUUAUUAAGGACGAAGAAAGUGACGGUACUUAAUGAAUAAGCUCCGGCUAACUACGUGCCAGCCGCCGCGGUAAUAC